AUUGAACGCUGGCGGAAUGCUUUACACAUGCAAGUCGAACGGCAGCACGGACUUCGGUCUGGUAGCGAGUGGCGAACGGGUGAGUAAUGUAUCGGAACGUGCCCAGUCGUGGGGGAUAACGUAGUGAAAAUUACGCUAAUACCGCAUACGAUCUAUGGAUGAAAGCGGGGGAUCGCAAGACCUCGCGCGAUCGGAGCGGCCGAUAUCAGAUUAGGUAGUUGGUGGGGUAAAGGCCCACCAAGCCAACGAUCUGUAGCUGGUCUGAGAGGACGACCAGCCACACUGGAACUGGGACACGGUCCAGCCUCCUACGGGAGGCAGCAGUGGGGAAUUUUGGACAAUGGGCGAAAGCCUGAUCCAGCCAUUCCGCGUGCAGGAUGAAGGCCCUCGGGUUGUAAACUGCUUUUGUACAGAACGAAAAGGUUUCUACUAAUACUAGGAGCUCAUGACGGUACUGUAAGAAUAAGCACCGGCUAACUACGUGCCAGCAGCCGCCGUAA
This 500-nucleotide ribosomal RNA is filed under the name uncultured bacterium. Its description in RNAcentral is "partial 16S ribosomal RNA". It matches the Rfam family "Bacterial small subunit ribosomal RNA", at positions 30 to 523 of the family's 1533-position model. The record is from RNAcentral.